UAUUGUAAUGUCAUCGUUGCCGUAAGCGCCGAGUUUUUCCAACAUUUAUCUAUAAUCACAAAUGAUAUACCAUGCACCGAACUCUGCACUCAACACUCGAAAACAGAAAACCAAAACAAAAAAAAACCAAUACAAGACAUUAACAAAUAAUUUAUAAAUUUGUUACUCGAUUGGAUUUAUGUUUGAAUUCUCAUAUGCACAAAAUACUCAUGAGUUUUACUGGCGCGAGUAACUGUUAACUGUCAAGAGAAAAGAUUAAAUACGACUUCUUUCCUGAAGAAAGCUGUUCCUUUGAAAACCAUAAGAAACAGAAGUAUCCGAUGUUAUCCGAUGGGACUCGUCUUCUUUAAACUAAAAAAAAUGGCUUGAAAAAUUAUUAUUUUAGACUGAUCGAUCCCAAAAUAACUCACUUCGAUCCGUAGUAGCGGGUAGUAAUAAGUUUUUACCCAAAAUUUUGAUACGAAAUGUGAUUAACUUAAGAUAUCUUGACUUAAUCAAUUCCAUGAAAAAUGACUUUGGUUUUCGUAACUUUUCUAGCAUUUUAGAACACUUUCACUAGUUUCUAAUGACUAGCCAGUGUUGUAAAGCACACCAUGAAAUAACAAUUGAUCCAAGGACAAAAGUUUUAGUGUAGAAAGUAUUCCAUUCUAUAGUUUCAACAUUUCUCAAGGUCUUCUCACAGUCAAUACUCAAACCUUACACAAUCCAUAUUUUUUUGGCGUAAAAUUACGUUAGGAGUGUCAAAAGGCGCUUGAUUUUGAGUCUAGUAGUUUAAUAGCCUAGUAGAGUCGAACUAACGGUGAAAGUCAAACCCAAAAUUUAGUUGAAUCCAAAGCGCAAACGCUUUUGUACCCUGUUAAGAGAAAAGAAAAAGAAAAUAGAGAGAGAGAAAGAAAUUAUUUUUGUCACAGCAAACUGCCUUGAAACGCAACUCUAAUUAUUGUUCCACAUUCUUAUGCUAUAAAAAAAAAAAAA
This is a long non-coding RNA of Drosophila virilis, 975 nucleotides long. RefSeq lists it as uncharacterized. NCBI's taxonomy places the organism in Eukaryota, Metazoa, Arthropoda, Insecta, Diptera, Drosophilidae. The record is from RefSeq and is a predicted model, not a curated record.